Tephrocybe rancida is the source of this 108-nucleotide non-coding RNA. NCBI's taxonomy places the organism in Eukaryota, Fungi, Basidiomycota, Agaricomycetes, Agaricales, Lyophyllaceae. The record is from the annotation of a GenBank genome assembly.
GGUGAGAUGGCCGAGCGGUCUAAGGCGCCAGACUAAGGACCAAAGCGCUAAACGCUUACUUGUUAUCUGGUCUCUCCGGAGGCGCGAGUUCGAAUCUCGUUCUCAUCA